CGUAGGUGACCUGCGGAGGGAUCAUUA
Molecule: ribosomal RNA, 27 nt
Filed under: Megaspora rimisorediata
Lineage: Eukaryota; Fungi; Ascomycota; Lecanoromycetes; Pertusariales; Megasporaceae
Also listed under: 1 other name
Description: partial 18S small subunit ribosomal RNA
Source: RNAcentral